AUGUUGCGUCACCACCAGCUGUGUAGAUUCAUGGAAUAAAGAUCCCGAUCUGCUUCUGUCACAUGAAAUUUAUUAUACAGGACGUGCAGAAUAUAUAACAGAGCUGUUCUCGUCGACAAACACUUCAUUUCGAGCGUGGAGCGACCCAUGCCUUUGGAUAACACCGCGUUCCUGGAUUUAGACGGACGUGAAUCAUCUUCUGCUGUUUGUUUUGUAGGUAAAGGGAACUGAAAUGUCGAUUGAAAAACAAAGCGUGUCCGAGGAAAACCUUCAGGGUUCCUGGGUGGAGCUGCAUUUUAAUAAUGGAGGUGGCAGCAGUCCUAAAGGAAGAACAGAGGAACAGGCCACCGCCCCAGACCUGGAGAAGAUGCUUCUGGAUGCGCAGCACGAGUCGGGCAGGAGCAGCUCAAGAGGAAGCCUGCCAUGUGAUAGUCCUCCAAGAUCCCAGACUCCUUCACACUUGCGCAGGGGCUCCGAGGUCCACAGCUCUGGAGAGAAGAACAGCUCACAGUCAGAGGAAGACUAUUUGGAGAGGAGAAGAGAGGUGGAGAUCCUGAUGAAGAAAAAUGCAGACUGGAUUUGGGACUGGUCGAGCCGACCGGAAAACUUACCACCCAAGGAAUUUCUGCUGAGGCACCCGAAGCGUUCCAGCACACUCAGCAUGAGGAACACCAGUGUGAUGAAGAAGGGAGGAAUCUUCUCAGCAGAAUUCCUCAAAGUUUUCCUACCCUCGCUUGUGCUUUCACACAUCCUUGCUGUGGGUCUCGGAGACAGUAUUUGAUAGUAACACAUAAAGGGCUAUUUUUGAGUCCCGCCUCACGCGGAUCAGCAGUGGAUGCGGUCUGCGUGCUGGAAUGCAUGCUAGUGUGCUCUACAGGGGGGUGUACAUCGGAAGGCGUAUUACUACUUCUGGCACAUUUUGAGGGAACAGGAAAGAAGAAAAAUCUCAUAUACGCACAUCAACCAUCUCAGCUGCUUUGUCGUGAAUCAGUGCUCGUGUAGAUGCAGAUAGGACGAGGUCACGUGACACAUUUCCUCUCCCCGGCUGUGGGCCGCUCUCUAUCUUGCUUCUCCCUUGUGUAUUCCACUGGCCUUUCCCAUAGUUCCUCUCCCAAAUCGACAUGUAAUGCCAGUCCAUUCUAGGGCCAUCAGCGCAGGGAAGGCCACGCUAGACUUAUGGGCACAUGCCUGAUAGAAUUAGAUGUACUGCAUCCUCAGAAUUUUGUAUUUACUCGUACCAAGACUACUAUUAUGAGAGGAUCAUAAAAUAAGGGAUAAAAGAGGAAAGGACGAGUGGAGCACGAGAUGCUGAAUCUCCAGAGACGUGAUGCCUGAUACUUGAGACUGUGAAUUGGGAGGAUUUUAAAGAACUUUCUACUCCAUAUCAAAACAGGGAUCAUAUCUAUUGAAUGCUAAAUCUCAACAUUUCAUGAUAUAACAAUGUCAAAGCACCAUUUUGCUGUAUCUUGAAGUUGUUUCUGCAUGUAUGAUGUUCCAGACACCAAAAACAGACCUUUGCUUUGGGAAUCAAGGCUGUGCAAAGUAUUACACAGUAUAUACUAGCAAAAAGUACUAUAUCAACACUUACCUGAAUGUCAGUUGAAAUCACAAAUAAAUGUACAAUACACAUCAAGCUUAUCUUCAGAUUUCACCUUAGUGCUCACCUGAAUUGCAAUCACAGAUGUUCUUCACAGAUGUUUAUCUGAACGGUCAGGGUUCCAGCCCGGAGAUUGCCUUAAAUAAAACUGUUAAUGAAUCAGGCAGGAGUAUAAGGGAAAUUGUGUACAUUUGUGCAUGUUUUGUAGUCUUUAAAAAUCGUAUUCGGUGUACGUGUCAAUUUCAUAGUGGUUUUGUAUCAACAGAAAUAAAUGUCUGCCAACUAUAAAACUUU
Molecule: RNA transcript, 1891 nt
Organism: Megalobrama amblycephala (Wuchang bream)
Lineage: Eukaryota; Metazoa; Chordata; Actinopteri; Cypriniformes; Xenocyprididae
Gene: bnip3
Gene name: BCL2 interacting protein 3
Exons: 7
Source: RefSeq, a predicted model, not a curated record